AGCGGAUGAAGGGAGCUUGCUCCUGGAUUCUGCGGCGGACGGGUGAGUAAUGCCUAGGAAUCUGCCUGGUAGUGGGGGAUAACGUCCGGAAACGGGCGCUAAUACCGCAUACGUCCUGAGGGAGAAAGUGGGGGAUCUUCGGACCUCACGCUAUCAGAUGAGCCUAGGUCGGAUUAGCUAGUUGGUGGGGUAAAGGCCUACCAAGGCGACGAUCCGUAACUGGUCUGAGAGGAUGAUCAGUCACACUGGAACUGAGACACGGUCCAGACUCCUACGGGAGGCAGCAGUGGGGAAUAUUGGACAAUGGGCGAAAGCCUGAUCCAGCCAUGCCGCGUGUGUGAAGAAGGUCUUCGGAUUGUAAAGCACUUUAAGUUGGGAGGAAGGGCAGUAAGUUAAUACCUUGCUGUUUUGACGUUACCAACAGAAUAAGCACCGGCUAACUUCGUGCCAGCAGCCGCGGUAAUACGAAGGGUGCAAGCGUUAAUCGGAAUUACUGGGCGUAAAGCGCGCGUAGGUGGUUCAGCAAGUUGGAUGUGAAAUCCCCGGGCUCAACCUGGGAACUGCAUCCAAAACUACUGAGCUAGAGUACGGUAGAGGGUGGUGGAAUUUCCUGUGUAGCGGUGAAAUGCGUAGAUAUAGGAAGGAACACCAGUGGCGAAGGCGACCACCUGGACUGAUACUGACACUGAGGUGCGAAAGCGUGGGGAGCAAACAGGAUUAGAUACCCUGGUAGUCCACGCCGUAAACGAUGUCGACUAGCCGUUGGGAUCUUUGAGAUCUUAGUGGCCCAGCUAACGCGAUAAGUCG
Molecule: ribosomal RNA, 807 nt
Filed under: Pseudomonas aeruginosa
Lineage: Bacteria; Pseudomonadati; Pseudomonadota; Gammaproteobacteria; Pseudomonadales; Pseudomonadaceae
Description: bacterial SSU rRNA
Rfam family: Bacterial small subunit ribosomal RNA
Source: RNAcentral